RNAcentral lists this ribosomal RNA (630 nucleotides) under Escherichia coli. RNAcentral's name for it is "partial 23S ribosomal RNA". It matches the Rfam family "Bacterial large subunit ribosomal RNA", at positions 609 to 1240 of the family's 2925-position model. Lineage: Bacteria; Pseudomonadati; Pseudomonadota; Gammaproteobacteria; Enterobacterales; Enterobacteriaceae. The record is from RNAcentral.
UGUAUAAUGGGUCAGCGACUUAUAUUCUGUAGCAAGGUUAACCGAAUAGGGGAGCCGAAGGGAAACCGAGUCUUAACUGGGCGUUAAGUUGCAGGGUAUAGACCCGAAACCCGGUGAUCUAGCCAUGGGCAGGUUGAAGGUUGGGUAACACUAACUGGAGGACCGAACCGACUAAUGUUGAAAAAUUAGCGGAUGACUUGUGGCUGGGGGUGAAAGGCCAAUCAAACCGGGAGAUAGCUGGUUCUCCCCGAAAGCUAUUUAGGUAGCGCCUCGUGAAUUCAUCUCCGGGGGUAGAGCACUGUUUCGGCAAGGGGGUCAUCCCGACUUACCAACCCGAUGCAAACUGCGAAUACCGGAGAAUGUUAUCACGGGAGACACACGGCGGGUGCUAACGUCCGUCGUGAAGAGGGAAACAACCCAGACCGCCAGCUAAGGUCCCAAAGUCAUGGUUAAGUGGGAAACGAUGUGGGAAGGCCCAGACAGCCAGGAUGUUGGCUUAGAAGCAGCCAUCAUUUAAAGAAAGCGUAAUAGCUCACUGGUCGAGUCGGCCUGCGCGGAAGAUGUAACGGGGCUAAACCAUGCACCGAAGCUGCGGCAGCGACACUAUGUGUUGUUGGGUAGGGGAGCGUU